RNAcentral lists this microRNA precursor (59 nucleotides) under Petromyzon marinus (sea lamprey). RNAcentral's name for it is "Pma-Mir-4544_pre stem-loop". The record is from RNAcentral. Lineage: Eukaryota; Metazoa; Chordata; Hyperoartia; Petromyzontiformes; Petromyzontidae.
UACCCUAUUCUGACCCUUGACUUGUCCAAUCAGAGUGUCCGGGGUCGGUGUAGGCUAAA